Non-coding RNA from Cinara cedri, 286 nucleotides. Lineage: Eukaryota; Metazoa; Arthropoda; Insecta; Hemiptera; Aphididae. The record is from the annotation of a GenBank genome assembly.
GAGCUUAAAGUGCCUUGAACAACGUGUCUAUGUACAUAUAUACACCUACAAGGGUAAAUCGUGGCCAUUUGUUUUCGACUGGUAUCUUUAUAAACGACCGGGAGGGGAAGUUCCCGGAGUAUAAUCCAUUUGCCGGGGUAAUAUGCUAUUAGCAGACCGUUAUAUACAACCUCCGCUGUCGCCGCCGUUGCUAUCACAUCGGUGAUUUUUGAUACGAUAAUACCACGAGGUCGCUGCCGACGAUAAUUUGCACUCUUUAACGGCAAAACCACAAGAAAUAUAUAUU